GACGAACGCUGGCGGCGUGCUUAACACAUGCAAGUCGAACGGAAAGGCCCUGCUUUUGUGGGGUGCUCGAGUGGCGAACGGGUGAGUAACACGUGAGUAACCUGCCCUUGACUUUGGGAUAACUUCAGGAAACUGGGGCUAAUACCGGAUAGGAGCUCCUGCUGCAUGGUGGGGGUUGGAAAGUUUCGGCGGUUGGGGGUGGACUCGCGGCUUAUCAGCUUGUUGGUGGGGUAGUGGCUUACCAAGGCUUUGACGGGUAGCCGGCCUGAGAGGGUGACCGGCCACAUUGGGACUGAGAUACGGCCCGGACUCCUACGGGAGGCAGCAGUGGGGAAUAUUGCACAAUGGGCGGAAGCCUGAUGCAGCAACGCCGCGUGCGGGAUGACGGCCUUCGGGUUGUAAACCGCUUUCGCCUGUGACGAAGCGUGAGUGACGGUAAUGGGUAAAGAAGCACCGGCUAACUACGUG
Molecule: ribosomal RNA, 468 nt
Filed under: uncultured bacterium
Lineage: Bacteria
Description: partial 16S ribosomal RNA
Rfam family: Bacterial small subunit ribosomal RNA
Source: RNAcentral